UGCCUAGUGGCUCAGUGGGUAGGGCACCAGCCUCAUAUACUGAGGGCAGCGGGUUCAAACCCCGCCCUGGCCA
This 73-nucleotide transfer RNA is filed under the name Otolemur garnettii (small-eared galago). It matches the Rfam family "tRNA". From Rfam's summary of the family: Transfer RNA (tRNA) molecules are approximately 80 nucleotides in length. The record is from Rfam by way of RNAcentral. Lineage: Eukaryota; Metazoa; Chordata; Mammalia; Primates; Galagidae.